CCCGGGAGUGUUGCUGUGGCUAUGAAUCGGAUGGUUUCCGUGAUGACUGUGGUGGCGUCGGAGGUGGAAAACACGGUCGGAACCGGAAGGGUCGAGGGCGAGAGGUAACUCGGUGCUAGGCCGGCCAACGCGCGACCGUCUCUGGUAAAACAGCUCCGACGCGCUCGUCAUACACCGCCGGCGAAUCUCAGUUCCCCGUCAGAUCGAGACCAAAUAGAA
Molecule: long non-coding RNA, 219 nt
Filed under: Linum usitatissimum (flax)
Lineage: Eukaryota; Viridiplantae; Streptophyta; Magnoliopsida; Malpighiales; Linaceae
Description: long non-coding RNA (LUSI_LNC000219)
Source: RNAcentral